This 433-nucleotide ribosomal RNA is filed under the name uncultured bacterium. RNAcentral's name for it is "partial 16S ribosomal RNA". It matches the Rfam family "Bacterial small subunit ribosomal RNA", at positions 29 to 507 of the family's 1533-position model. The record is from RNAcentral.
AGCGAACGCUGGCGGCAGGCCUAACACAUGCAAGUCGAACGAACUCUUCGGAGUUAGUGGCGGACGGGCGAGUAACACGUGGGAACGUGCCUUUUGGUUCGGAAUAACUCAGGGAAACUUGUGCUAAUACCGAAUGUGCCCUUCGGGGGAAAGAUUUAUCGCCAUUAGAGCGGCCCGCGUCUGAUUAGCUAGUUGGUGAGGUAACGGCUCACCAAGGCGACGAUCAGUAGCUGGUCUGAGAGGAUGACCAGCCACACUGGGACUGAGACACGGCCCAGACUCCUACGGGAGGCAGCAGUGGGGAAUAUUGCGCAAUGGGCGAAAGCCUGACGCAGCCAUGCCGCGUGAAUGAUGAAGGUCUUAGGAUUGUAAAAUUCUUUCACCGGGGACGAUAAUGACGGUACCCGGAGAAGAAGCCCCGGCUAACUUCGUG